Molecule: long non-coding RNA, 4186 nt
Organism: Triticum dicoccoides
Lineage: Eukaryota; Viridiplantae; Streptophyta; Magnoliopsida; Poales; Poaceae
Exons: 2
Source: RefSeq, a predicted model, not a curated record
GUUGUGAUAUAUUUCUGUCCCUGUCGUACUAGCGUGUUCCUACCUUGUCUCAUACUUGCUAGCUAUAUAUAUACAUAUAUGUGGUCUUGUCUUGUCAAUUCCCCUUGUUGAGGAUGUCCGUCUGUAGUUUCAAUUUUCUCAAGUGAUAUGAAAACACCCAAAAAAGAGCGAGUUUCAAUCUUAAUCUCCUCGUGCCGUUUGUCAUUUUAUUUGUCAUCAUUCUAGAUUUGUAUUUUCUUCUUUCAUCAUCUAAAUUCUAUCACCUAGCUUUAGCCGAGCAUUGUUGCCGUCGCCUAGUCCCUGUGGAGAACACGACACUGCAGAUUUGGGCGAAAUACCCUGUUGUACUUACGAUUGAUCAUUUUGGCACCGUUGCCAGGGACUAGCGUCGAGUGACUGUGUUAGGCUAUAGACUAGGUUUUUCUUCUUUUUCUAGUUUGUGCCAUAUAUUUGUGAUAUAUCUCUAACCACUAACCCCUGCUCUAGUUAGUAUCUUUUUUGUUUUCUUUUCCUUUUUGCAUGUUAGAAUUAUCUUCUCGGUUAUGGCCUACUAUGCAGUUCAUCAGGCUUAUGCGAGCAACACUACAAACAACACGGAAAGUAUUCAAGAACUGAUAACUAAGAUUUCCCAUCAAUUAGAUGACUUAGCUCGGCGACGAGAAGUAGUUUUUGAGGAUAGGUCUAGCUCUUAUGAUCCUUAUUCUAGAGGCCAUCCUUAUGUUGCUCCUACCUGCCAUAUUUGUGGAUUUCAGGGCCAUUCGCCCGCUGAAUGUCAGCGUGGUUACUCCCAUCCUCCGGAUUGUUUUGGCAUGAGCUUCGCUCAACAGCAUAGCUCAUACCAAAACAAUUACCCAUAUGGGUGGCCUGAAAACCCGAGUAUGUCAUAUAGGAGCAACAACCCUGAGAUCUCAUCGUUUUCUUCUAGUAAUCAUAUGCAGGGAUUUAGGUAUGAAGAGGAGAGCCACAACCAUGCACCACAACAGUUUUAUUCACCUCCUACUCAUAUACCUCAAUACCAGGAGAUGUGUCCAAUGGAGUUAAAUGGUCCUCCAUUUGAUCAACCAACAACACCAGCACCUUCCAAGCAAUCUCUUGUGCAAGUGCCCACACAAGAUGAAUUUGAUGAUAUAGAGAAGCUCACAUUGCUUAGUCUCGAGUUCACUAGGAGUGCUGAAGAUUAUCCAAUUAGGCCGGUGAUACUAGAUGAAAUGAAGAAGAUCAAGAGUGGGAAUGAGCUAGUGGAAGAAGUAAGGAAGAUUGAGAAGAACAUCAACGCUGGCAGCACUAUUUCUUUAUAGCUAGAGCUGAGUAUUUCUGGGAUUUCCAUUGAUACUUGUGAGGUUUCAAUGCCUUCACAUCCAGCUGAGGAAGAUAGUAAGAGCCGUGAGGAAGAGAUACCUCAGAUUCAAGAAGAUGUACUCGAAGACAAGGAACAAGAUGAUCCAGAGCUUGACUACCCAAGUGAUCAAGUUGAAGAUCCAAUGUCUAUCCCUCCUGAAGAAGUAAAAGAAGUUGUUGUAGUUGAAGAUGAAGAACCAGAGAAUCAUUUGCCAAUUGUCAUUCAAGAGUGUGAUAUUGUUCGAGGUGACAUUCCUUGGGACCCUGGUGGACUCAGAGCAUGGGGAUGAGGAGAAGCAAGGAGCACACAUGAAGAAGAGUGAAGCUGGAGCAUGCACGAGGAAGCAAAGGAGAGGAGCUGCAGUUGGUGAGGUGAUCGAGCGAGUGCUACAUCAUCAAAGCCCGGUGAGCUGUUUCAUGACCCAUUUUGAAAUCAUCAUCCAUUGAUGCUUGCUAAAUUAAAUUGCUUUUUGGGUUGCUUGUGCCAUUUCUUAAAUGUUGUCCCACUGAAUUUCACCUUUGACAUAUGGUGCUUGAUGAGAAUAUGCGAACUGAUUGUUGAAUGCCUUGUAAACUAGUGAUCUACACAAUGCUUGCUUUGCUGAAAGUAGUGAAGGCUACUAGUUUUGAGUGCUCAAAUCCCUAGUACACUAGAAAACUUAAUCAUUUUCUUCUUUUACCUUGAUACACCUAGAUCAUUAAGUGUCAGAUGCUGAGUUUGUGCCUAAUGUGUUCCCAUUCAGAGCAAUCACUCACCACUAUGGACUAGCAUGCUAUGUUCCCUGGAUCGGUAGUAUGUGAAUCAGACCUGGAUGAGUGAUGAUUCUUGUUUCCUUUUUGUAUUCAUUUGUUAAAUAAGUAAUAAUGAAUAAAUAAUUAUCUUAUCUUACCUAACAGUAGCAUGUCAUGUUCCCUGGAUCGGUGGCUUGUGAAAUCUGGUUGGAUCGGAUAGGAGUUAAUUAUAUUAAAAAAUGCUAUAUUUGUCGAACCAGGUGUAUACCAUGUUCUCUUGAUCGGUGGUAUGUUCCUUUGGCGAGACAAAUAAAAAAACUAAUAAUUGGUCGAGCCAGGUGCAUACCAUGUUCUCGGGAUCGGUGGUAUGUUCCUUUGGUGAGACCAAUAAAAUAUUACCAUUGCUUCCUUCAAAUUCAAUAAGUGGUUCAACCACAAUGUUCCUGGUAAUAAGUGAUCUGAUCACAAGUUUAAGUUCUUUUUGUUUUUUUUGGAUCAUGCUCUCUUUAGGAACCUUUUGGCACAAUCAGCAUUUGAAUUUGUUGAUCCAUUUUUAUCAUUGUAAAAGUUUAAAAUGAUUGAGUCUACUAGUAUCCUAUUGCUUCGUAGCACUCUUAACCUUUGCUUUUCACAGGUAAUUCCAAAGCAUGCAAUGUUUGGAGAUCUACUUCACUGGGACAUUCUCUAGUCAGCUCACUGUUCACUGUCUAGCUCUUGUCAUAUGCCUUUACUUGAGGACAAGUAAAGAUUUAAGUGUGGGGGAACUUGAUAAGCACAUUUCACAUAUAUAUAAUUUUGGCAUACAAAUAUACCAUUUGUUGAGUUCUGACAUUAGUUUUUGCUAUGAAAUACUGAAUAUUUGAAUGAUAAUCAUAUAAGAGCAUGUUGACUAGUGAAUUGUUUCUUUUGCAGAAAAGUGCGAGAAGGCACUAUAAACUUCAAGAUUCGGUCGAUUGCCAAACGCGAUGAGACUUGGGGCUGGAACGAGAGAACGAGGGACCCGAGCGAGAAGAAAAGAAGUAUCUAGGGGCAAGCUAAUGUUGGAGGAUCAUCUUGAGAAGAAAGGAAGCAGGAGGGCCAAAGUGAAAAAAUGGCAGAUCACAGGAGGUCAAAAUCCCUAGACUCCCUGAUUCCCAAAUCGGGCCUGGCCACAUCUCCCUCUCUUUCCCCUGCCUCCUUCUCCAGCAAAGGCCGCCGCCACGGCCAGGCCGGCGUGGGGCGCGCCACCGGCUCCACUUCGCCGCCGCACCUCCGCACUCCAUCCAUCCAUUCGCUGCACCACGACCCAUCCACCAUAACUACCACGAGUCCCUUGCUGCACCUCAUGCCACCAAUCUGAAUCUCUUCUUCCUUCUUGCUGCUGUUCAUCCCAAUCUCGCUGCUGUUCAUCUUUGCUACUGCCCGCAGCUCUCUUCGUCUCUCUCAAACUUGUUGAUGCAGAUGCCCUCAACCUCCUGCUGCUCCUCUCUUCUUACGCCCCUGCUGUUGCCCCUUCUACCCCUACCUCGCUGCUGCUCUGCUUCUUUUUCAUCCCCACGCUGCUGCUACUCCUUCUCUCUACGCCCCUGCUGCUGCUUCUUUCCCAAUCUUGCCAUUGCCCUUCUGUAUCUCCAACUUGCUGCUGCUCCUCUGAACCUCUUCUCCUCCUAGUGCUGCUUCUAUCUUGUCGCUUCCCUGCAGCGGUUCCUUUCCUUCACCCGCUGCUCUCUCUGUGUAUGUGUGUGCGUGUUCGUGUGUGUGAGAUUGUGUGUGUUUGUACUUCAUAAGUAUUGAUAGUGUGUGAUGAAGAGAUAUGUUAAUUCCAGGGACAUGUAGUUGUUCUUAUAAUUUUGUUGAUCAGUGAGAAUUGGUACUGAUGCUUAUGACCUUCUAUUUCUAUGUAUGAGAUCUAGCUAAACCUGUCAUUUAUAUUCUGUACUUGUUGAAUAGUGUUCAAUUUUCAGUCCCUGUUUUAGCUCUAGUACCCGUGACAUAUAUGUUCGUGAUAUAUGUUUCAUGUGGUUUCGUAUUGCUGUUAUGUUGAUCAUUUUAGUGCUAGUAUUGUGUCUUGUGUAAUCCAAACCAUAUAUGAUUUGUGCGUGUCACUAAUUGUCAGCUAGUAGCUUUUAAUAAUUCA